GAUGAACGCUGGCGGCGUGCCUAACACAUGCAAGUCGAACGGAAAGGCACUGAGUUUGUGGGGUGCCCGGGGGGGGAAGGGGGGAGGAAGACGUGUGUAACGUACCCUUGACUUUGGGAUAACUUAAGGAAAGUGGGGCUAAUACCGGAUAGGAUCUCCUGCAGCAGGGGGGGGGAUGGAAAGUUUCGGCGGUGGGGGAUGGAAUGGCGGGUUAUCAGCUUGGUGGUGGGGUAGGGGCUUACCAAGGCAUUGACGGGUAGCCGGCCUGGGAGGGUGGCCAGCCACCAUGCGCCUGCGGUACGGCCCAGUCUCCUACGGUCGGCAGCGGUGGGGAGUCUUGCACAGUGGGCGCACGCCUGUUGCGGCGGCGCCGCGUGCGGGAUGCCCGCCUUCGGGUUAUGAACCGCUUUCGCCUGUGACGAAGCGUGAGUGACGGUAAUGGGUAAAGAAGCACCGGCUAACUACGUG
Molecule: ribosomal RNA, 468 nt
Filed under: uncultured bacterium
Lineage: Bacteria
Description: partial 16S ribosomal RNA
Rfam family: Bacterial small subunit ribosomal RNA
Source: RNAcentral